CCAUGUCCACCUGGACCCAGUGUAGACAAAGAGAUGUCCCCACUCCAUGUCCACCUGGACCCAGGGUAGACAGG
RNAcentral lists this microRNA precursor (74 nucleotides) under Chlorocebus sabaeus (green monkey). RNAcentral describes it as "miRNA (ENSCSAG00000025191.1)". Lineage: Eukaryota; Metazoa; Chordata; Mammalia; Primates; Cercopithecidae. The record is from RNAcentral.